CUCAGUUCGGAUUGUAGGCUGCAACUCGCCUACAUGAAGCGGAAUCGCUAGUAAUCGCGGAUCAGCACGCCGCGGUGAAUACGUUCCCGGGCCUUGUACACACCGCCCGUCACACCACGAGAGUUUGUAACACCCGAAGUCGGUGAGGUAACCAAUUUGGAGCCAGCCGCCUAAGGUGGGAUAGAUGAUUGGGGUGAAGUCGUAACAAGGUAGC
RNAcentral lists this ribosomal RNA (214 nucleotides) under uncultured bacterium. Its description in RNAcentral is "partial 16S ribosomal RNA". It matches the Rfam family "Bacterial small subunit ribosomal RNA", at positions 1287 to 1500 of the family's 1533-position model. The record is from RNAcentral.